This 109-nucleotide ribosomal RNA is filed under the name uncultured bacterium. RNAcentral describes it as "partial 16S ribosomal RNA". It matches the Rfam family "Bacterial small subunit ribosomal RNA", at positions 1373 to 1482 of the family's 1533-position model. The record is from RNAcentral.
CCCGGGUCUUGUACACACCGCCCGUCACACCAUGGGAGCGGGUUCUGCCAGAAGUAGUUAGCCUAACCGCAAGGGGGGCGAUUACCACGGCAGGGUUCGUGACUGGGUG